Molecule: ribosomal RNA, 112 nt
Filed under: Neogale vison (American mink)
Lineage: Eukaryota; Metazoa; Chordata; Mammalia; Carnivora; Mustelidae
Source: RNAcentral
GUCUACGGCCAUACCACCCUGAACGCGCCCGAUCUUGUCUGAUCUCGGAAGCUAAGCAGGGUCGGGCCUGGUUAGUACUUGGAUGGGAAAUGAAGUUUGGGGGCUGCUCCCA